Long non-coding RNA from Ostrea edulis (European flat oyster), 1470 nucleotides. RefSeq lists it as uncharacterized. The record is from RefSeq and is a predicted model, not a curated record. The transcript has 4 exons. Lineage: Eukaryota; Metazoa; Mollusca; Bivalvia; Ostreida; Ostreidae.
AUUUUCCUUUUCUCAUAAAAGAGCAAUGAUAUUUAAUAUUCAUUUCAUAAUCACAACAGAACACAUCAAAACAUGCUUGAUAUUCACCUUUUAGAAUUUUGAAUACAAAAAAAAAUAUUAAAAAAUAUCCUGUCCCGAUUCGGAAACAGGACGUUAUCUAACCUAUUCUUUCUCUCUAUAUAUCAUUGUAGGUAUUUCCGGUGCUGACUUGAAACGUUUUCAUUUACGAUGUUGCGAAUUCAUCAUUACAUUUGCAUGGGGUAGUGCAUAUGUUGUGUGUGGCCUUCUAAACGAUAAAUCUAUGGAUUAAAGGAUGAACAGGUCGAUGCAGGAAUAUUCAUUCUAAUGAUAAGGAAAUACGAAAUGCAAGGACAACCUCCAAGCAUGCAGUAUGCCUUAUACAAACAAUGAUGGAAUGUUCCAUUAUAUGGUGGCGCCCAGUUUUUAUUGGUGGAAGAGAGAACCCAGAUACAAUGUACCUGGGAAGAGACCAUCAACCUUCCGAAAGUAAACUGGGAAAUUUUCUCACUUAACGGCAUGAACGGGAUUGGAACCCUCGCCAACAGAGAAUCCUGAAGUGAUCUUGUACAUGUAAAUGCAUGCAGUGGUGGAUUCAGGAUUUGUUAAAGGGGGGAUAGGGCUCCAGGGUUUUGAGGCUUUUUAGAACUAGAUGAGCAGAAGAUGCAGUCCAUGACUGACUCCCCAUAUGAUAUGAAAGAGAGCCCAUGAGAAUGGAACCAACUUUCAGUGUUACAAUGGAUGAACACUCCUCCUGUCACAAGUCCAUCUUGAUUCAGUAAAGUGGUAGUCUAUUUAUCUAGGAAGCAACAAGACGGAUUUGGACAAGGACCAUAUUGACUCAAGUUUUGGUGUCAGAAGACCAUUUUGAUUAAACAUGUUAAAAGCACCACAGAAGUAAGAAGCUAGGAUACCAGUUUUAUGUGAGCAUACCAUUUAAGGAUUCAUUACUGAACAGUUGAAGGAUAGUCACUAUGACAAGAAAAUGGAACAAUUGUAAUGAGCAUUGGGGUCCAUGUAUUUAGAGCUUUCCAUUUUUCUGUUGAAAGUCAUAUUGAUAUUGUUCUGUUUAUUAUUUUUUCUUACCAUCAAAAUGCUAUCACUCUUUAAGACAUAUUGAAACACUUUUUAGCUCACCUGAACCGAAGGUUCAAGUGAGCUUUUCUGAUCACAUUUUGUCCGUCGUCCAUCUGUAAACUUUUCACAUUUUCGACUUCUUCUCCAGAAGCACUGGAUCAAUUUCAACCAAACUUGGCCAAAAGCAUCCUUGGGUGAAGGGCUUUCCAGUUUGUUCAAAUGAAGGGCCAUGUCCCUUUCAAACGGGAGAUAAUAAAAGAAAUGCAAAAAUAGGGUGGGGUCAUUUAAAAAUCUUCUUCUCAAGAACCACUGGGCCAGAAGAGCUGAAAUUUACCUGAAAGCUUCCUGACAUAUCGCAGAUUCACGUUUGUUCAA